GAUGAACGCUGGCGGCGUGCCUAAUACAUGCAAGUCGAGCGAACAGAUGAGGAGCUUGCUCCUCUGACGUUAGCGGCGGACGGGUGAGUAACACGUGGAUAACCUACCUAUAAGACUGGGAUAACUUCGGGAAACCGGAGCUAAUACCGGAUAAUAUAUUGAACCGCAUGGUUCAAUAGUGAAAGACGGUUUUGCUGUCACUUAUAGAUGGAUCCGCGCCGCAUUAGCUAGUUGGUAAGGUAACGGCUUACCAAGGCAACGAUGCGUAGCCGACCUGAGAGGGUGAUCGGCCACACUGGAACUGAGACACGGUCCAGACGCCUACGGGAGGCAGCAGUAGGGAAUCUUCCGCAAUGGGCGAAAGCCUGACGGGGCAACGCCGCGUGAGUGAUGAAGGUCUUCGGAUCGUAAAACUCUGUUAUUAGGGAAGAACAAAUGUGUAAGUAACUAUGCACGUCUUGACGGUACCUAAUCAGAAAGCCACGGCUAACUACGUG
Molecule: ribosomal RNA, 497 nt
Filed under: uncultured bacterium
Lineage: Bacteria
Description: partial 16S ribosomal RNA
Rfam family: Bacterial small subunit ribosomal RNA
Source: RNAcentral